UCCCUGGUAGCUCAGAUGGUAAAGAAUCUGCCUGCAAAGCAGGAGACCCGAGUUCGAUCCCUGGAUUGGGAC
RNAcentral lists this transfer RNA (72 nucleotides) under Bos taurus (domestic cattle). It matches the Rfam family "tRNA". From Rfam's summary of the family: Transfer RNA (tRNA) molecules are approximately 80 nucleotides in length. Their secondary structure includes four short double-helical elements and three loops (D, anti-codon, and T loops). Further hydrogen bonds mediate the characteristic L-shaped molecular structure. tRNAs have two regions of fundamental functional importance: the anti-codon, which is responsible for specific mRNA codon recognition, and the 3' end, to which the tRNAs corresponding amino acid is attached (by aminoacyl-tRNA synthetases). tRNAs cope with the degeneracy of the genetic code in two manners: having more than one tRNA (with a specific anti-codon) for a particular amino acid; and 'wobble' base-pairing, i.e. permitting non-standard base-pairing at the 3rd anti-codon position. The record is from Rfam by way of RNAcentral. Lineage: Eukaryota; Metazoa; Chordata; Mammalia; Artiodactyla; Bovidae. RNAcentral also lists the same sequence under 3 other names.